ACAUUUUUCACCUCAUGUGUGAAGCUUCUCUGCCUCUUUUCUUGAUUUUAUUGCGAAAACUCCUUUUUCUGCUAAAUGCUUUCUCCACUGGCUCUUCAAUUUUUUCUGCAUGACGAAUGGCAGCAACUAGAUCACGGUUUGAUUCUGAAUAUAGACUCGUAACAAGGCCAGGUUGGCCUGCUCUAGCUGUACGUCCAACCCUGUGCAAGAAAUCUACAGCAGAUGUG
This 227-nucleotide unclassified non-coding RNA is filed under the name Hevea brasiliensis (rubber tree). The record is from RNAcentral. Lineage: Eukaryota; Viridiplantae; Streptophyta; Magnoliopsida; Malpighiales; Euphorbiaceae.